Long non-coding RNA from Triticum dicoccoides, 4673 nucleotides. RefSeq lists it as uncharacterized. The record is from RefSeq and is a predicted model, not a curated record. Lineage: Eukaryota; Viridiplantae; Streptophyta; Magnoliopsida; Poales; Poaceae. The transcript has 4 exons.
ACGAUACCUACAGGCACGGUGCCGCCGCCGCCGCCCCCACGUGCGGUCGCGCGGCCAAUGUUCUUCCCCGACCCAUUGCAAUUCUGUCUCCUUCCCUUCUCCAUCUGCACCAAUCUUCUCCUGCGCCACCCUGAGCCUUCUUGGGCUCCAACCUCCUGCAAUCUUCAAGCCCGCCGGCACCCAAUCCGCCUACAAUCUUCAAGCCCGCCGGCACCAAAAGCAACCAGCGGUCGAUUCGACUGAUCCCCACUAGGAAUCCAUGGGAUUUGAGGUGGAUUUCCUAGGAGAGCGAGUAGGAAGGGUGAUGGUGGGGUUCAUGCGGAAGAUGAAGAAGCUGAAGGUGAUCCACGGCCCGCGAAGCCGAGCCACCACGGGCCUCUUCCCCUGCCGUUCCGCCGCCAUGCCGGGACGGCGUACUGGGCCUUGCCGGACGCCGAGGACAAGCGAGUCAAGCGCGGACAAGCACAGAGUGACCAGCGGCGAUAACUAUGCUCGGGCAGAUAGAUUCCGCCGCGGCGGAGUUCGAGAUACGAACAGGAGAAUAGUAGCUGUGAUGACUCAACAAGAUGGAAGUGUGGGAGUGGGACAAGGGAUGAGUGCAAUCGGCUCAGGUAAACUCCUCAUGUACACCGUCAGGCAUCAGUUCUAGUCGCGCCCGAAGCUUCCAAUCUCGCCGCUCCACUUAGUUUGUCGAAACAUUGUCGGCAUGUGCUCCAUCCAAGGUACGCCAUCGUCCAAUUCUAUCAUCAGUUUUGAACUUUGAACUAAUGACUAAUGGGUCGGAGUUGCCAGGGCUGAAAGUUCAAGGAAGAUUCAGCUUACAUCUGAAUUCCUUUGUAUUGCCUACAAUGUUAUAGCUUAAAUUCUGCUAAUAAAUUUCUAUCAAUGAUGUUCCAAACAAUUUCUUAGAGAUGGGUUGUGCACAAGGGUGCACAUUGUAGAUCUGUUAACUUAAGAUUUGAAUAAUGAGAUAUGUUCAUAUGCUUUGCUCACUAUUAUUCCUAAUUUACUCUGGACAUAAAGACCAAAGUUUAUUGCUUUUGUUCAGUCGAAUGCUACUUGAUCAGUACUUAACCAAGAUUGGCAGCCAUUAUAGCUGGUGUUGAACUCAGCUAUACACACUGAAUGUUACAAUAUGCCAGAAUAAACACAUUAGAAUCUUUUUAUUUAUAUUCAUACUAUUUUCUCAAGAUUGCUCUGCCGUUGCUAAUUUUGAUGUUCUGCUAUACUAGUAUUGCAUAUAGAGAGAGAUCAGAGAGGAGAGCAGCAGCCCGCUGCUGCAAUUUUGUUCAUGCUGCUACUUGGUUACUACACAUCUAUACAGAGAACACAGAGAAGGCUGCUGCUUGCUGAUUACAAUUUCUUCAUGUUAUGUGCAUAUCCUUAUGUAUGCUGCUGCUAGGUACCCAUGAUCAUGGUGACAAGGAAUCGAUACUGCAACGGUAGGGAUCUGGUGGCCAUCGAGUGGCAGCCGCUACGUACAUACGUAACUCCAACGAGUCAUGGUGAGGAGACUUUGAUCUUUAUAUGUUAGAUUCAGUGGCGAAUCUAGCAGGACAUUGAAGGGUAGGCUUAAAACAGUCUAAUUAGCAAAUGCAUUGCAAUUAUUGCAUGUAAACCACCAGAAUAUACUGCUCAAGUAGUAUGUUUAGCUUAAAUAGGAUUUUGAAGGGUAGGCUUAAGCCUAUUGAAGCCUCCUUAGUGGAAUCACCACUGGUUAGAUUCAUAGUGGAUAUACGUUACUACAUGUAGGCCCCAUACGCCAAACGAGUUCCUCCAUUAGUUUAUGUUAGCUUGUGAGCUUUCUUCAUCUCCACUGUACACAGAUUGGUCAUGCAUGAUGCAUCCAUGGCUUAGGAUAAAAAAUGAUCGUUUCCAUCCAAAUGUUAUUCAUUUAUUAUUAUUUUCCAAAUCAAUUGAGGAGAACAUAUAAAGAAAAAAUAAUUACUCGUCUGUUUUAAGAGACGAAAUAAAGCGAAAAAGAAAUUUCUCUGAAGGAUCUCUAGGGAGAUUUUGCACAUGAAGUUAAGGUUUGGUACAUUCAAUCUCCAAAAGAUAUGGUGAGAUAUCUGAAUUAUGUUUUGUCUUCACAGACUAAUAUGACACUUUACUUGGCUAUUUUACCAAUUUGUUGUUGUAGCUAAUAGUGUUGAUAUAUAUCCCAUUGUAGAGCAUUCAUUUGUAAAUAAUGAUUCUAAGACCUUUGUUUGUGUUCCUGUCGUUAUCAUUAAGCUUGCCUCAUAUAAUUGUUAGCACUGCAAUCAGAUAGAAUAUUAAAUAUUUGUUGCGAUCAGAAUCAUUUGCAAUGAUGUCUGAUUCGAUUUAUCUACCAAAGUUUACCAGCCAGAUUGCACAUGUACUCAAGUUUACUAGCCAUACCUACCAAAGUUUUCUUGGUUGACUGAUUGACCAUAUUUAUUAGCUGCCCACCUAAAUUUAUAGUGCCUUAGGACAUCAUCAACUUACAGUAAAAAUAAUGCAAUGGGCUUAUAUUAUCCUUCGAGUGAUCAUAGAUGUUCAAAAUGAUAUUUGUUACCACCAUGAGUAGUACUCUGCAAAGCAUAUACGACAUCUGUUUACUGCAGUAUUUUGCAACCAAAGCCCCUAUCUAUAUCAUUCUAGCGCUUCUCAAAAAAAUGUUGGAGAUAAAUAUCAGAAAAGGUUAAUACCCAAAAGCCCUUUUGUUAUCUCGAACUUUUCAGUCUUCAUCUUCUCUGGUGGCUUCACAUUAAAAAAGUAUUAUUUGGUGGCUUUGUAAGAUUUUCCUUUAUGCAAAUUAGAUUGCUUAAUAGCAUUCACAUUUCAAAUUCAUUGAUAUGAAUAAGCAUGUAUAGAACACGAAAUGUAGUUGAUACACACGAGCCAUACAACGUUAGAUAUGAUUCUUACCUAAAUCCAAGGAAUGACUGUAUUAAGUUAUUCAUGAUCUGGAAUGUUAUCCAUGUGAAUGUUUAUUUUCCAAUCUGCUGUAAAGCUAGGAAAUUGGUUGGCAAUAGUUUUUCUGUCAAGGUUCUUCUGUUUAGAUUCUAACUGAUAUGUAAGGGGAUACCGAUGAAUCAAAUAUUUAGAUUUUUUAUUUUUUUGAGAUUUUGAACUUCAGGGGUGGGGGUGUCUUCAGUCAUGCUUAUUGGAUUAGGAUCUAGGACCGUGAGCUAUAUUUCCCUAAUAAUCCCUAAUAAUGAAGCACGGAUUGACUCCCGUCGGGUUCACCGUCGUGACAUAUUUAUGCUAAACCCCCUAUAUUUUUACUGUAAUCAACCCGCAGUCCUAUUGUUCUAGUUAACCCGAAUCGGCAUGGGCGAGAAAAAAAACCCGACCCGGAAGCCCACGACCUUACCUCCCAAUCCCAUCUCUACCAACAGUGUGUCGCCGUCGCGCGCCGCCACCACCGGCCCUCGCCCCUCCGCCGUGCACCGCCACUGCCGGCCAACACCGCGCGUCCACCCCUACCCGACGUGCCUUCAUCCCUGCGGUUUUCCACCACCGGCGACAAUCAAAGCCGGCUCCGCACCUUCCCCAACUCAUCUUUCCCCUCCUCUGCCGCUGCCGCUCUCCAUCGGCCGACCAACGCCCUCGAGUCAGCGCCGACUCCUCCAUCCGGUUCCUGCUCGAUCUCCUCCAGGUCCAGAUCAUCCACAAUCUCAAGCGACGGGAGAGGAGCCUCUGCGUGCUUCUUGUCGGACGACAGCGCAGCCGUGCGCCCCUGACGCCGCUCUUGCACGUGAGGAGAUGCUACCUGCGGCUCGGCCGCUCCAACCCUAGGGUCGACGCCGUGGUCAUCGUCAAGAUCCCCUUCUCCUCUGUCGGUCAUCUUCUCCUCCCCGGCAGACGUCGUCGCCUUCGAGGACGAGGACGAUGGUGGUGGUUGCGCACUUCGCGUUGGUGGAUUACACCACUACCCCCAGGUUGGGAUUGGUGCGCGGGCGUCGACAUCUGCGUGCCCGAGAUCAUCGGAGCUGCAUCAGGCUAGCGCACAUCCUCCGCUACACCCCGACGCUAGAUGCGUCGACCUCAUCCCCUUGCCGCAGGAGAUAAAGGGCCGCCUGGACUGGGAUACUAGCGAGAUGGAGGGCAACUUCAGCACCAACUAGAGAGCAAAGGAGGUGGUCGUGCUCUACAUGAUGUCCGACGACCUUAACGGCCAGUUCUUCGCCGAGAAAAUGGGCUACCACGAGAUGGUCCUGCUCCGCCCCCAGGGCGCCGCUGAGGUGGUUGUUCAUUGGCGUGGGCUACCGACUUUGAUAAUAAUGAGAUUUCAUCCCCUGCGUCAGCUCAUCGGCGGAGUUCUUCUCUACAGGUAGCAGAAAAUCAUGCAGCACACACGUUCAAUUAGCCACCUACUUAUGCUUGCAUAUCUUUCUACGGAGUACUGCGCAUCCUGAUUUGCGUCUACUUGAGGAGCUGAUGCACAGAUCAUGUCGAUUUGGUCACCAUUGAGUAGUUGGAGAGCUACCUUAAGACACACGAUGUACCAAUGGUAGUCAUAUAUAUCUCAUGACAGGGCUUUCCUAGAUCAGUGUUGUAUAAAGAUAUGGCCACUGAAUUUGGCGUGUCUGCCUCUUUGUUUUCCGAAUAAUGUGAGAACUUCUAGCCUUCUAGAACAAGCAUAGUAGCUUAUUUAACUUUGUCUAAUAAAUAUCCUAUAUGGUCAAUCUAGGAUGAAAGUGUAUUUA